RNAcentral lists this long non-coding RNA (4605 nucleotides) under Brassica napus (rape). RNAcentral's name for it is "long non-coding RNA (BNAP_LNC014527)". Lineage: Eukaryota; Viridiplantae; Streptophyta; Magnoliopsida; Brassicales; Brassicaceae. The record is from RNAcentral.
GGACAUGUUUGUUUAAAUUAUUAUUGUCUUUUGUUUUGUUUGGGUGCAGUGUCUAGAUAAACCUUUAAAACCACAGUACAAUGGAGGAAUCAUCGUGAACCCUGACCUACGAGAUGGUCCACAAGCUUGGUUACCAUUUGGAAACGCAAAAAUCGAAUUUAAAGAUAUUGGACACGAUAAAUUUGUUGUUGCACGAGAGAGGAAACAGCCUCAUGACAGCGUCUCACAGAAGGUUCAUCUGGAAAAGGGACGUCUCUACACUUUUUCUGGUAAAAAUAAAAAUAGGUUUUUCUGUUUCUUGGAGCAAACUCUUUCGAAUUUUGUAAACCCUAUCAGAACAAUGGCCUGCUUUGUUUUCUGCAUAUAAGUUAUAAUGUACAUAAAUAAAAAAAUAUAUGUUCAUGGUUUAAGUUUUCUUAAUAUUAAUCUAUUAAUAAAUAAAAUUAUCUAAACAUGACCUAUAAUUUUUUCUUUAAACGAAUAAAUGAAACCGGAUGAGAAAAAAAUAUCCACACCAAAGAAUGAUAUUACAAACCAUGAAAUAUAAUUGAAAACCAUAUAGAUAAUUUUUUUCAAAUAUAUAAUAUUAUAAUAAUUAUUAAAUUACACAACAAACCGAAUUAUUAGAAUAUUUCAGAUAUUUAUAAAUUUAUAACAACAUUGUCAUGAUCAAUUUUUUUAAUAUAAUCUAAAAGCAUGAAAAUAUAAGACAUGAAUCAUGUGUUAGUGGAACAUAUAUAAUAAGAAAUGCAGUUUUCCAAAUAAAAUAAAAACGUGUUUUUCAGUUUUUUGUCAAACAUAUCUUAAUUUUCAUUUAGUAAAACAAAAUUAAGACUAAUUAUUUCAUUAUUUCAUUUAAGAUUUUUUGCUACCCAAACUCAAGUGACUCUUAAAAUUACUAAUUGUAGAAAGACAUUUAUUAAGAUAUUAUAACUGUUUUUAAAAGAAUCUUUUUUGUUAAGAUGUUAUAAAUAAUUUAAAAAAAAUAAUAAUAAAUGUGUGUUAAAUAAAUACAAAAGGACACUUAUUGUGAAUUUUAACUAUUUUAAAAAACAUUUCUAAUAGUUGCACAUUGGAAAAAUAAAAAUAAUCAUUGUUUUUUUAAUGAAAAGACACAAUUUUUGUAAUAAGAAGAUGCAACUUUUAAAGUUAUUAAUUGUAGAAAGACUCUUAUUAAUAUAUUAUAACUGCUUUUUAAAAGAAUUCACUUGUUAAGAUGUUAUAACUAAUUAAUUUUUUUGUAUAUUUGCAUGUUGAAAAAAUGCAAAAAAAAACUUAUUGUGAUAUUUUAAUUAUUUUAAAAAACGUUUCCAAUAGUUGCAUGUUGGAAAAACAAAACUAACCACACUUUUUAUGAAAUACACAAUAUUUAUUAUAAGAAAACAAAACUCUUACAAUUAUUAAUUGUAGAAGAAAACUAUUAAUAUACUACAUAACUACUUUAAAAAAGAAUCCAAUAGUUACGUGUUGAAAAAAAUAAAUCUAAUUUCAGUUUUUGUGAAAAGACACAACUCUAAACAUUAAAUGGGAUUGGGUUAACUGUCUAAAACCUCCUCUACUAAACAAAUCAACACUCAUUCCCCCAAACUAUUGUACUCGUCGAAAACCCACUUAUAUUAUUUGAUACAAAUAAGUUUCUAACUAAUUCCACAUUUGGAAUUGAAAACAUGAAAUGGCGUUUAAUUCUCCCUAAUGGCGUCUGGUUACGAUUACCCAUAAUCCAAAAUCCGAUCCGAUACAAACUACAAAUAAACGUCGCCUUGGGCCCUUUCCAGCGAAUCUCCACCGUCAAUCUCUCCUUCUCCGGCUCCCUCGCCAGAUCCCACCCUUCUAAUCUCCUCACGGAUAGCUUCACCACGUAUUUCCUCGUAACUAACGGCGGCCAUGGCCGCCACUUCAUCAUCAUCACCACCAUUGUAACUCCUAAGCGACGUCACGAAAAGAGAGAUUGAAGAGAGGUAAACAAACUCUUUCUCAAGUAGUUGAGAAAAAAACAAGAAAAAUAAAAAAAAAAGUUUUUUUAUUUAGCUUGUUGAUUUAGAUCAAUGUCCAGAAAUAGAAAGCACGUUUUAGACACAGGAAGCUUUUAGGAUGUGGUUUCUAUCUUGGAUAGAUUAAAACUUGGAAGUUUAGCUUCUUCUCUGGUAAAGAUGAAAAAGUUUAUGGUGCGAAGAGAGAAGAGAGAGAGAGAAAGUGGAGACACAGAACGCAGCACAAGCGUGUAGACACAGAGAGACAACAAAGAAAAAUGAAAAGAAAGAUCAUAGCUUCACAGAUCUGUCCCUCUUUCUCUAACGAACGAUAGACUCGUUGGAAUAAACCAGCAAACCGGAGUUAAAAUGUAUUGGUUAGAGGCGCAUGCCAUUCUUUAUUCUAUGUCCAUCGCACUUUAAGACAUCCUCCAAACAUGUGACACGAUCGAUCCUAUCGUUACAAGAUCACGCAUACAAGUCAGUUUGAAUUUCUAAAAUCUAAAUGAUGGUUUUAUGCGACAACGUUUGACAACUAAUGUGCUUCAUGCCACUGGAGUGCGGUGGUCACUGGCCCUAGCUAUUCUUCACACUAAAGGAACAAGCAGUAUCUAAUGCAUCACGAUUCAUGCAUGAUCAUUCUUUUUUCUAUCGCAUAAUAAUUUAGCCAACCCACUUUAUAUAUAUCAGGAGGAAUUCUUAAAUUGUGAUUAGCAUGACUCGAGAUUCAUUGACUUGUUUCACACAUCACAGCCACAUGCCUAUUAUUUAAUUUGCUCAUGAGUUAUGAAGCCUAUCUGCUUUAUUUAAACACGACGAAUACCAUUGCGAUUGCUUUAUUAAAAGAAAAAUAACAAUAAAAUAUGAGAGAAACGAAGAAGACAAUGCUUUCCAGAUUUCAAGUGAAAGAAAUUAAUUUUUUUUCUUUAGUGUAUUGUUUAGUUGGAGACAAACCUUUUCAUCUAAUUGUUUCGUUUAGGAUUUUUGGCUAUCCAAACACGUAAAACUUGUCCUACUAUUUUUUGUUGACAAUGUUUUAUUUGAAUAUUUUCUAAAAAAUUUGUAAGCAAAAAUCUGCAUAGAUGUUUUUUUUUCACCAUUUUAUAAUUAGUGCAAUUAGUGCAAAUUUUACUUUGACAAAUGCAUAGACAUCGACUAUUUAUAGAUUUUAAAAAUCUAUUUGAAUAGUUACAUCUUUUCAGUUUAAAUAGUCACAUCUUUUUUAUUUAAAAAUAAUUAUUUUAAAAAGAUAUUUAUAUAAAUAGUCACAACUUUUCACUUUUAAAAAUAUACUUAUAUGAAUUUUAGAAAAGACACAACCUUUUACACAUCUUGUUAAAAAGACACAACAUUUCAACAUAAGUAGAUUCACAACUUUUAGAAUUAAUCAGGAUUGCUAUUAUUAGUAGAUAGAGACAAACAAAUCACCAAGAUUUAAUUAUCAUUUUAUACAAAAUAUCUAAUUUGUAAAAACAGGAAUUUAUUAUCAUUUUAUACAAAAUUAAUAAAUCCUUUUCAUUGAUAUGAAAUUGUGUCAACAUAACAACGAGUCGACAUUAGAGGAAACAAAAUAUUCUGGGAAGUAGUCCUCGUUUAGAUAUAUUUAGAAUGAAAAAAAGAGGAACUAAACCAAUGUAUCAAUACUUAACCACAAGACUAAACCAACAUAACUGAAACAUAUAUAACCGGAUAAAUGGCUUCACUGAUAAUAUUUAAGAUUAAUUUUGUCAUUUUGUGUGUUUCUUUUAGGAACUUUAUAGUUUACAUAUCUAACUGUUGAUUAUUGACUAUUUUUGUUUACUUUUUUUCUGUCAACUAUACUUUUGUUUAUUAUGUACGCACUAGACUAAAAUUUCCUUGCUAAAAGUUUUGAGUCUUUGAAAAUCACUUACAAUUUUAAGAUGGUGUUUCUAUUGAUAGUUCAUGGAUAAAUAUAUUGAAUUUUAUUUACCAAAACUAGUAUGUUUAAAAGUUGAUAAUAGUUAAUAUUUAUCAAGGUAAUCAAGAUUAGUAAAGCUUGUUUUUUCGUUUUUUUUUGGUUUAGUAAACUUCUUUUUGUUCAUCAAUUAUAUCAAGAUCUUCAAGAAUAGUAUAGAUUUCUUACUAUAUCAAGAUCUUGGGAGAGUCAUAAAAAUACGAUCAACAAAAACAAAACUUCAUUAUCAUCACAAUGAAGCGUCUUCUUCUGCAGCUGCUUGCCCUCUGGAGCUUUUCUCUAUCAAGUUGUUCUCCAUCUUAUCAUAUGAUUCUUAUUUUCUUCUACUUUUUAAUAUUGAAUAUUUUGUUUAUGUUUGAAAACAUUUGCAGGAUGUGAAUCAACGUUUGUACCGUAUGAUUAUUCUGCAACCGUAGAGGCAAGCAAUGUUAUGUUCAAUUUUCUGAAGUUGGACAUGUUUGUUUAAAUUAUUAUUGUCUUUUGUUUUGUUUGGGUGCAGUGUCUAGAUAAACCUUUAAAACCACAGUACAAUGGAGGAAUCAUCGUGAACCCUGACCUACGAGAUGGUCCACAAGCUUGGUUACCAUUUGGAAACGCAAAAAUCGAAUUUAAAGAUAUUGGACACGAUAAAUUUGUUGUUGCACGAGAGAGGAAACAGCCUCAUGACAGCGUCUCACAGAAGGUUCAUCUGGAAAAGGG